RNAcentral lists this transfer RNA (73 nucleotides) under Betaproteobacteria bacterium. RNAcentral describes it as "tRNA-Trp". It matches the Rfam family "tRNA". Rfam says of the family: Transfer RNA (tRNA) molecules are approximately 80 nucleotides in length. The record is from RNAcentral. Lineage: Bacteria; Pseudomonadati; Pseudomonadota; Betaproteobacteria.
AGGCCAAUAGCUCGACUGGUAGAGCAGCGGUCUCCAGAGCCGCAGGUUGGGGGUUCGAGUCCCUCUUGGCCUG